GUCAGCACCGUGCUCCAUGUCCCAAACCCAUAACCCUGAUGUUGUCAGCACCGUGCUCCAUCUGGGAAUCAAACCCAUAACCCUGAUGUUGUCAGCACCGUGCUCCAUGUCCCAAACCCAUAACCCUGAUGUUGUCAGCACCGUGCUCCAACCAACUGAGCCACCUCAGAACUGCCACACCGUGAGCAUGAUGAAGAUAUCACAGUGAGUCUUUUUUCUAACUCUUUGCCCCAACGCAGCUCUCCUGUGCCCUGACCUCUUGUCGCUACAGAAACAGUGCGCUGCCCUCACAAUACUCACUCGCUCCGGGAGAGACGCAAAGGGGAGGAGACGGAGGAGGAGGGAAGCUCCGAGCUGGACAGAGAGAUGAAGAGGGACUCUGGCAUGCAAGAGAGCUGGUAUCUGCUAGGGAGCUGGAAGUACAUCAGGCUGAACCAUACAGCCCCAUCACCAUCAUCCCUGGACCACUCAGCACCCGUGCACGCCUGAGGAAUACAGAGGAUGUCCACACACACUCACACACACACACACACACACACACACACACACACACACACACACACACACACACACACACACACACACACACACACACACACACAGCGGAUGUGUGCGGCCGUACUUUUAAAACUAAUAAUGUUCAUUCAUGUCCCAAAUUUCAUUCCUGUGAGAUCAUCACCUCAAACUGUUUUGUAGCACACGUGAUGACCUCUUGAGUUUUGUAACAUUUUUUGUAAAACAUUUAUAAGUGAAG
RNAcentral lists this long non-coding RNA (754 nucleotides) under Salmo salar (Atlantic salmon). RNAcentral describes it as "lncRNA (ENSSSAG00000088257.1)". Lineage: Eukaryota; Metazoa; Chordata; Actinopteri; Salmoniformes; Salmonidae. The record is from RNAcentral.